AUUCCAGCUCCAAUAGCGUAUAUUAAAGUUGUUGCAGUUAAAAAGCUCGUAGUUGGAUUUCUGGGUUCUUCGCUAGCUUUGGUCCGCAAGGGCUUCAGUGGGCUGUUUGAAUCCAUCCUCAGGGGGACCCAUGCUGGUAUUCAUUUAUCGGUGUGGGAACGCCUGUCGUUUACUGUGAACAAAUUAGAGUGUUCAAAGCAAGGUGUACUUGAAUACAUUAGCAUGGAAUAAUAAGAUAGGACUUUGGUGGUUCUUUUUGAUAUUUUGUUGGUUUGCACGCCAAAGUAAUGAUUAAUAGGAGCAGUUGGGGGUAUUCGUAUUCAAUUGUCAGAGGUGAAAUUCUUGGAUUUAUAGAAGACGAACUACUGCGAAAGCAUUUACCAAGGAUGUUUUCAUUG
This 398-nucleotide ribosomal RNA is filed under the name Apedinella sp. Its description in RNAcentral is "partial small subunit ribosomal RNA". It matches the Rfam family "Eukaryotic small subunit ribosomal RNA", at positions 582 to 975 of the family's 1831-position model. The record is from RNAcentral. Lineage: Eukaryota; Dictyochophyceae; Pedinellales.